RNAcentral lists this non-coding RNA (197 nucleotides) under Peptoniphilus grossensis. RNAcentral's name for it is "T-box sequence". It matches the Rfam family "T-box leader". Rfam says of the family: Uncharged tRNA acts as the effector for transcription antitermination of genes in the T-box leader family. T-boxes are found upstream of many aminoacyl-tRNA synthetase genes and some amino acid biosynthetic genes usually in Gram-positive bacteria. The anticodon of a specific tRNA base pairs to a specifier sequence within the T-box motif, and the NCCA acceptor tail of the tRNA base pairs to a conserved bulge in the T-box antiterminator hairpin. The record is from RNAcentral. Lineage: Bacteria; Bacillati; Bacillota; Tissierellia; Tissierellales; Peptoniphilaceae.
AUAAAAGUUUUGAAGAGCGAGUAAAAUUAUCCAAGACUUUAAGAGAGUUUUCGUUUGGUGAGAGAAAAUAGGGAGGGUAAUUUGAAUAGGAGCUUGGAACUUGCAUCUCGAUAUUUAGAUUUGCACGGUUAUGCGUUAUAGUUUUUGAGGUAUAGAAAUAUACAAAUUUGGGUGGUACCACGAUUUUCGUCCCUUUC